RNAcentral lists this transfer RNA (72 nucleotides) under Ovis aries (sheep). It matches the Rfam family "tRNA". Rfam says of the family: Transfer RNA (tRNA) molecules are approximately 80 nucleotides in length. Lineage: Eukaryota; Metazoa; Chordata; Mammalia; Artiodactyla; Bovidae. The record is from Rfam by way of RNAcentral.
UCCCUCGUAGCUUAGUCAGUAAAGAAUCUGCCUGCAAUGCAGGAGACCUGGGUUUGAUUCCUGGGUUGGGAA